AAGAGUGAAGCAAAAAUUGCAAUCAGUUUCGACCUGAACUUAGGAAAACCCCCUCUCUUA
Molecule: transfer RNA, 60 nt
Filed under: Ornithodoros turicata
Lineage: Eukaryota; Metazoa; Arthropoda; Arachnida; Ixodida; Argasidae
Description: tRNA-Arg
Source: RNAcentral